AAUCUGGCAAAAGGUUCGGGACAACAGUCGGAAACGAUUGCUAAUACCGGAUGUGCUCGUGGGUGAAAGAUUAAUCGCCUUUUGAUGAGCUCGCGUCUGAUUAGCUAGUUGGUGUGGUAAGAGCGCACCAAGGCGACGAUCAGUAGCUGGUCUGAGAGGAUGACCAGUCACACUGGGUUUGAGACACGGCCCAGACUCCUACGGGAGGCAGCAGUGGGGAAUUUUCCGCAAUGGGCGAAAGCCUGACGGAGCAAUACCGCGUGAGGGAGGAAGGCUCUUGGGUUGUAAACCUCUUUUCUCAGGGAAUAAGAAAGUGAAGGUACUUGAGGAAUCAGCAUCGGCUAACUCCGUCCCAGCAGCCGCGGUAAUACGGAGGAUGCAAGCGUUAUCCGGAAUGAUUGGGUGUAAAGCGUCCGCAGGCGGUUGCUCAAGUUUGCUGUCAAAGAGUCUGGCUCAACCAGAUAAAGGCAGUGGAAACUGAGAGACUAGAGUGCGGUAGGGGCAGAGGGAAUUCCUGGUGUAGCGGUGAAAUGCGUAGAGAUCAGGAAGAACACCGGUGGCGAAAGCGCUCUGCUGGACCGCAACUGACACUGAGGGACGAAAGCUAGGGGAGCGAAUGGGAUUAGAUACCCCAGUAGUC
RNAcentral lists this ribosomal RNA (640 nucleotides) under uncultured Iphinoe sp. RNAcentral's name for it is "bacterial SSU rRNA". It matches the Rfam family "Bacterial small subunit ribosomal RNA", at positions 123 to 795 of the family's 1533-position model. The record is from RNAcentral. Lineage: Bacteria; Bacillati; Cyanobacteriota; Cyanophyceae; Nostocales; Stigonemataceae.